AAAGAAGAAUGUUGCGUAGGGAUGUCUUGGCUUGGUGGUAUACUCAGGCUACGGCUGGGUGGUAUACUCAGGCUACGGCUGGGUGGUAUACUCAGGCUACGGCUGGGUGGUAUACUCAGGCUACGGCUGGGUAAAACGUUGCAAGGUUGCCUACUGGUGGUCGACAGUUUCCCAACCCAGAGAGAAUAAAUGUUUCUUAAUUCUUUCACAUUUUCCUUUUCAUGCCAUUUUGAAUCUGAAUAGGUCGGCCCAGCCGUAUUGCCUCUGAAUAGGUCGGCCCAGCCGUAUUGCCUCUGAGUAGGUCGGCCCAGCCGUAUUGCCUCUGAGUAGGUCGGCCCAGCCGUAUUGCCUCUGAGUAGGUAGGCCCAGCCGCAUUGCCUCUGAAUAGGUAGACCUAGCCGUAUUGCCUCUGAAUAGGUAGGCCCAGCCGUAUUGCCUCUGAAUAGGUAGGCCCAGCCGUAUUGCCUCUGAAUAGGUAGACCUAGCCGUAUUGCCUCUGAAUAGGUAGGCCUAGCCGUAUUGCCUCUGAAUAGGUAGGCCUAGCCGUAUUGCCUCUGAAUAGGUCGGCCCAGCCGCAUUGCCUCUGAGUAGGUCGGCCCAGCCGCAUUGCCUCUGAAUAGGUAGGCCCAGCCGUAUUGCCUCUGAGUAGGUCGGCCCAGCCGCAUUGCCUCUGAGUAGGUCGGCCCAGCCGCAUUGCCUCUGAAUAGGUCGGCCCAGCCGCAUUGCCUCUGAGUAG
Oncorhynchus tshawytscha (Chinook salmon) is the source of this 736-nucleotide long non-coding RNA. The record is from Ensembl. Lineage: Eukaryota; Metazoa; Chordata; Actinopteri; Salmoniformes; Salmonidae.